AGGACCCCGUGCCCAAUGACUUAGAGGGCUGGGCUGCCCAUCAGCCAAAAGUCAGCAGGCACAGCAGCGACUGCCGAAUAGCCCUUAGACCAAAGGAUCCUCACCGAAAUGGACAAUCUUCAGGAAAUGUCCACCAGCACCCAGAUGUUACCAGGAAAAGGAUGGGAUGCUUUUCUGCAGGGAUGACAGUGACAAAGUGAUGCUUGCGGCAAUAACCAGAGCCAUUAAAAGACAACCUGGAGCCAGACAGGGGCCAGCCAGGUAGCUAGAGAGAGAAAAGAGAGCUUCUGGUUUGGCAAGGACUGCAGGAGUUCAUCUUGGGUGACCCGUUGUUUAUAUCCUGUAGACAGAGGAUGAAUUACCUCCUAGGAACCUCCUUAGCCUCUGGAAAUAGGCUUUCAUCAUCUCAUCCUACCUGCCCACCAGACGUAACCAGAAGUGUCUAAAUCCCAGGAGUGGCCACAGUUCUGC
Long non-coding RNA from Nomascus leucogenys (northern white-cheeked gibbon), 471 nucleotides. RefSeq lists it as uncharacterized. The transcript is spliced from 4 exons. The record is from RefSeq and is a predicted model, not a curated record. NCBI's taxonomy places the organism in Eukaryota, Metazoa, Chordata, Mammalia, Primates, Hylobatidae.